AAGAGUAAAGGCAUUUAUAUCAGAUUAAUCAAAUCAUGCUAAGUAAUGGUAUUUAUAUUGUGGCGUAUAUAUUGGAUCAUUCCAAUUCUUUAAGUUUACAAGAAUCGGUCAUAUGCAAAGUAAAGGUGUUUAUAUCGGACAAAUCAAAUUCUUUAAAGUUUACAAAAAUCAGUCAUUAUGCAAAGUAAAGGUGUUUAUAUCGGACAAAUCAAAUUCUUUAAGUUUUCAAGAAUCAGUCAUUAUGCAAAGUAAAGGUGUUUAUAUCGGACAAAUCAAAUUCUUUAAGUUUACAAGAAUC
This is a long non-coding RNA of Mercenaria mercenaria, 298 nucleotides long. RefSeq lists it as uncharacterized. The record is from RefSeq and is a predicted model, not a curated record. The transcript has 3 exons. Lineage: Eukaryota; Metazoa; Mollusca; Bivalvia; Venerida; Veneridae.